This 68-nucleotide transfer RNA is filed under the name Marmota monax (woodchuck). Its description in RNAcentral is "tRNA.Ala". The stretch from base 5 to 65 matches the Rfam family "tRNA", at positions 6 to 65 of the family's 71-position model. Rfam says of the family: Transfer RNA (tRNA) molecules are approximately 80 nucleotides in length. The record is from RNAcentral. Lineage: Eukaryota; Metazoa; Chordata; Mammalia; Rodentia; Sciuridae.
GGAUUGUGGCUCAGUAGUAGAGUGCUUGCCUAGCAUGCAUGAGGCAUUGGGUUCGAUCCUCAGCACCA